AGUACCGAAGGUCAUGAGUUCAGGCUGCCAAGAAAAGCCUCUAGCCAGGGAGAAGGUGCCCGUACCGCAAACCGACACAGGUAGGCGAGCAGAGCAUGCUAAGGCGCUCGGAAGAACUCUCGUUAAGGAACUCGGCAAAAUGACCCCGUAACUUCGGGAGAAGGGGUGCCUCGGUAGGGUGAAUAGCCCGAGGGGGCCGCAGUGAAAAGGCCCAAGCGACUGUUUAGCAAAAACACAGGUCUGUGCGAAGCCGCAAGGCGAAGUAUACGGGCUGACGCCUGCCCGGUGCUGGAAGGUUAAGGGGAGCGGUUAGGGGCAACCCGAAGCUGUGAACCGAAGCCCCAGUAAACGGCGGCCGUAACUAUAACGGUCCUAAGGUAGCGAAAUUCCUUGUCAGGUAAAUUCUGACCCGCACGAAUGGCGUAACGACUUGGGCGCUGUCUCGACGAGAGAUCCGGUGAAAUUUUAAUACCUGUGAAGAUGCAGGUUACCCGCGACAAGACGGAAAGACCCCAUGGAGCUUUACUGCAGCUUGAUAUUGGACUUUGGUACGAUCUGUACAGGAUAGGUGGGAGCCUGGGAAGCCUGCGCGCCAGCGUGGGUGGAGGCGCCGUUGGGAUACCACCCUGAUCGUAUCGGAGUUCUAACCUGGUACCGUGAACCGGUACGGGGACAGUGUCAGGUGGGCAGUUUGACUGGGGCGGUCGCCUCCUAAAGAGUAACGGAGGCGCCCCAAGGUUCCCUCAGAAUGGUUGGAAAUCAUUCGAAGAGUGCAAAGGCAUAAGGGAGCUUGACUGCGAGACAAACAGGUCGAGCAGGGACGAAAGUCGGGCUUAGUGAUCCGGUGGUACCGCAUGGAAGGGCCAUCGCUCAACGGAUAAAAGCUACCCUGGGGAUAACAGGCUUAUCUCCCCCAAGAGUCCACAUCGACGGGGAGGUUUGGCACCUCGAUGUCGGCUCAUCGCAUCCUGGGGCUGAAGUAGGUCCCAAGGGUUGGGCUGUUCGCCCAUUAAAGCGGUACGCGAGCUGGGUUCAGAACGUCGUGAGACAGUUCGGUCCCUAUCUGUCGUGGGCGCAGGAAAUUUGAGAGGAGCUGUCCUUAGUACGAGAGGACCGGGAUGGACGUACCGCUGGUGUACCAGUUGUUCCGCCAGGAGCACGGCUGGAUAGCCAAGUACGGACGGGAUAAGCGCUGAAAGCAUCUAAGCGUGAAGCCCCCCUCAAGAUGAGAUUUCCCAA
This 1239-nucleotide ribosomal RNA is filed under the name Paenibacillus validus. RNAcentral's name for it is "Bacterial large subunit ribosomal RNA". It matches the Rfam family "Bacterial large subunit ribosomal RNA", at positions 1581 to 2817 of the family's 2925-position model. Lineage: Bacteria; Bacillati; Bacillota; Bacilli; Caryophanales; Paenibacillaceae. The record is from Rfam by way of RNAcentral.